AUGAACGCAACGGGAGAGAUCGCCGGUACAUGAAGCGGCGCCGAAGGAGUAACCCUGCCCGGCAGGGGAAUCUCUCAGGCAGAAGGACCUUUGCGGGACG
This 100-nucleotide non-coding RNA is filed under the name Paenibacillus sp. RNAcentral's name for it is "Glycine sequence". It matches the Rfam family "Glycine riboswitch aptamer". From Rfam's summary of the family: This family represents the bacterial glycine riboswitch. Glycine riboswitches usually consist of two metabolite-binding aptamers domains with similar structures in tandem. The aptamers cooperatively bind glycine to regulate the expression of downstream genes. Lineage: Bacteria; Bacillati; Bacillota; Bacilli; Caryophanales; Paenibacillaceae. RNAcentral also lists the same sequence under 2 other names. The record is from RNAcentral.